Molecule: ribosomal RNA, 256 nt
Filed under: uncultured bacterium
Lineage: Bacteria
Description: partial 16S ribosomal RNA
Rfam family: Bacterial small subunit ribosomal RNA
Source: RNAcentral
UAAUACGUAGGUGACAAGCGUUGUCCGGAUUUACUGGGCGUAAAGAGCGCGCAGGCGGUCGUUCAAGUCGAGUGUGAAAGCCCCCGGCUCAACUGGGGAGGGUCACUCGAUACUGAUCGACUCGAAGGCAGGAGAGGGAAGUGGAAUUCCCGGUGUAGUGGUGAAAUGCGUAGAUAUCGGGAGGAACACCAGUGGCGAAGGCGACUUCCUGGCCUGUUCUUGACGCUGAGGCGCGAAAGCUAGGGGAGCAAACGGG